Molecule: ribosomal RNA, 407 nt
Filed under: uncultured bacterium
Lineage: Bacteria
Description: partial 16S ribosomal RNA
Rfam family: Bacterial small subunit ribosomal RNA
Source: RNAcentral
AUUGAACGCUGGCGGCAGGCCUAACACAUGCAAGUCGGGCGGAGCGGCGGACGGGUGAGUAAUGUAUGGGGAUCUGCCUGAGGGGGGGGUAUAACUACUGGAAACGGUAGCUAAUACCGCAUACUAUCAGAUGACCCUAGGUGGGAUUAGCUAGUUGGUGGGGUAAAGGCCUACCAAGGCGACGAUCCGUAACUGGUCUGAGAGGAUGAUCAGUCACACUGGAACUGAGACACGGUCCAGACUCCUACGGGAGGCAGCAGUGGGGAAUAGUGGACAAUGGGCGAAAGCCUGAUGCAGCCAUGCCGCGUGUGUGAAGAAGGUCUUCGGGUUGUAAAGCACUUUAAGUGGGGAGGCGUUACCAACAGAAGAAGCACCGGCUAACUCCGUGCCAGCAGCCGCGGUAAUAC